GUGUGUUCCUCUUCACUAGCAGCUUAGAAUUCAAGUUCAUACGAACAAAUGCAUCAUAAAAUAAAACAUCUACUGAACUUUGAUCAACUAAGACUCGAUGUACAUCAUAAUUAAAAAUAUUUAAAGAUAUAACUAUAGAGCCAUCAUGUGGAUACUUUAUUUCUUUCAGGUCGGCUUCAGAGAAAGUGAUUUCAUUGUUAGUCUUUCUCUUCUUCGGCUCUUUUUCUUCAGCUCGGCUCGAUUUAAAGAUACAGUGGUUGAACUGCCCCCCAAGGAUCACACGGAUCUC
This 289-nucleotide long non-coding RNA is filed under the name Elaeis guineensis (African oil palm). Its description in RNAcentral is "long non-coding RNA (EGUI_LNC029466)". Lineage: Eukaryota; Viridiplantae; Streptophyta; Magnoliopsida; Arecales; Arecaceae. The record is from RNAcentral.